Molecule: microRNA precursor, 116 nt
Filed under: Caenorhabditis remanei
Lineage: Eukaryota; Metazoa; Nematoda; Chromadorea; Rhabditida; Rhabditidae
Description: mir-90
Rfam family: mir-90 microRNA precursor family (bases 12-94)
Source: RNAcentral
UGUUUGGGCCUCACUUCGAGCGGUAUUCAACGACUAUCUCAACCGAUAUACAUACCAACCGAGUUGAUAUGUUGUUUGAAUGCCCCUUGAACUCGAGGCCCCUAGUAGUUACUCAG